GUGAGGAAUAUUGGUCAAUGGGCGCAAGCCUGAACCAGCCAAGUAGCGUGCAGGAAGACGGCCCUCCGGGUUGUAAACUGCUUUUAGUUGGGAAUAAAGUGCGGGACGUGUCCCGUUUUGUAUGUACCAUCAGAAAAAGGACCGGCUAAUUCCGUGCCAGCAGCCGCGGUAAUACGGAAGGUCCGGGCGUUAUCCGGAUUUAUUGGGUUUAAAGGGAGCGCAGGCGGACCCUUAAGUCAGUUGUGAAAUACGGCGGCUCAACCGUCGGACUGCAGUUGAUACUGGGGGUCUUGAGUUCACACAGGGAUGCCGGAAUUCAUGGUGUAGCGGUGAAAUGCUCAGAUAUCAUGAAGAACCCCGAUCGCGAAGGCAGGCAUCCGGGGUGUUACUGACGCUGAGGCUCGAAAGUGCGGGUAUCAAACAGGAUUAGAAACCCUAGUAGUCC
This 445-nucleotide ribosomal RNA is filed under the name uncultured bacterium. Its description in RNAcentral is "bacterial SSU rRNA". It matches the Rfam family "Bacterial small subunit ribosomal RNA", at positions 354 to 796 of the family's 1533-position model. The record is from RNAcentral.